RNAcentral lists this ribosomal RNA (525 nucleotides) under Tiliqua rugosa asper. Its description in RNAcentral is "partial 16S ribosomal RNA". It matches the Rfam family "Bacterial large subunit ribosomal RNA", at positions 1842 to 2610 of the family's 2925-position model. Lineage: Eukaryota; Metazoa; Chordata; Lepidosauria; Squamata; Scincidae. The record is from RNAcentral.
AGUAUUAAAGGUCCUGCCUGCCCAGUGAAAUAUUUUAACGGCCGCGGUAUCCUAACCGUGCAAAGGUAGCGUAAUCACUUGUCUUCUAAAUAAAGACUAGUAUGAACGGCUAAAUGAGGACAAACCUGUCUCUUACGGCCAAUCAGUGAAACUGAUCUUCCAGUACAAAAGCUGGAAUAAACACAUAAGACGAGAAGACCCUGUGGAGCUUUAAACAACCGCUAACAAACACCCAUAAAGUGUUCCUAGCCCUAAGUUUUGAGUUGGGGCGACUUCGGAGUAAAACGAAACCUCCGAGCACAGAACCACCACUUCUCACCAAGGCAAACAAGCCAAAGUUACAAGCCGACCCAGUCAUACUGAUCAACGAACCAAGUUACCCCAGGGAUAACAGCGCUAUCUUCUUCAAGAGUCCCUAUCGACAAGAAGGUUUACGACCUCGAUGUUGGAUCAGGACACCCAAAUGGUGCAGCUGCUAUUAAAGGUUCGUUUGUUCAACGAUUAACAGUCCUACGUGAUCUGAGU